RNAcentral lists this non-coding RNA (320 nucleotides) under Pongo abelii (Sumatran orangutan). Lineage: Eukaryota; Metazoa; Chordata; Mammalia; Primates; Hominidae. The record is from RNAcentral.
UCUGACAGAUGUGAGAACAGGAGGGCCUCGGACGCCAAGACCAGCCUCCUCUUCCCUCCAGGGAGGCAUGGACAAUCAGACUUCUGGGCCAGGCCCACUGUGCCCCACCGCCUAUUGGAGCAGUCCUUCACCGUGACUCUAGCUGGAUGUAAUCAGGAACUCAGUGUGCACCACCUCACGUCUGGCUGUUUCUGCCUUUGUGAUGUCCGAGAGGUUUGUCCCUGUGGGUAUGCACAGCUACAGCUGCUCAUUUUCUUGGCCAUAUAGAAUUCUUGUUAUAUACAUAUUUUAUGAUUCAUAAAUGCUACUGUUGGUGAACA